This 229-nucleotide long non-coding RNA is filed under the name Elaeis guineensis (African oil palm). Its description in RNAcentral is "long non-coding RNA (EGUI_LNC019546)". The record is from RNAcentral. Lineage: Eukaryota; Viridiplantae; Streptophyta; Magnoliopsida; Arecales; Arecaceae.
CUUUUCUUUGAAUUAUUUCUUCAUGUUAAGCAUAUGAAAAGACCUACAACCACUCUUAAAAUACUUGGUUAGAAUCAUAAUUACUCAAAAUUUUACAAUCAUCAAAAUCAAUCAUAGGCUCAACAUCUCUCUUUUUUUGAUGAUAGCAAAACUUUUAGUAUAUGCAUAAAAUAAAAUUAAUAUGUUUCAAUUAAUUGACUGGUAUGAAUCAUGAAAUAAGAAUGGACAC